Molecule: unclassified non-coding RNA, 238 nt
Filed under: Hevea brasiliensis (rubber tree)
Lineage: Eukaryota; Viridiplantae; Streptophyta; Magnoliopsida; Malpighiales; Euphorbiaceae
Source: RNAcentral
GACGAAUCUGAAGCUAUUGUUGGUGACAAAUCUGUAGCUGUCGAUGACUAACGAAAGGGUGAAACAUGAUUUUGGGUUGAUGGUUGUUAGCAUGAUUUUUGUUGUUCAAUUUAUGCCUGUUUUUUUGGCAGCCUCAUGAGAAAAGGAUGUUUUCAAUUUCCCCACUUUUUUUGCUUUGUACCCCACCCACCCCACCUUAAAAUUUUAUUUCAAUGACCAAAGAAUUAUGAACUUUAUU